RNAcentral lists this ribosomal RNA (464 nucleotides) under Vreelandella stevensii. RNAcentral's name for it is "partial 16S ribosomal RNA". It matches the Rfam family "Bacterial small subunit ribosomal RNA", at positions 339 to 795 of the family's 1533-position model. Lineage: Bacteria; Pseudomonadati; Pseudomonadota; Gammaproteobacteria; Oceanospirillales; Halomonadaceae. The record is from RNAcentral.
CCACGGGGGGCUGCAGUGGGGAAUAUUGGACAAUGGGCGAAAGCCUGAUCCAGCCAUGCCGCGUGUGUGAAGAAGGCCUUCGGGUUGUAAAGCACUUUCAGUGGGGAAGAAAGCCUUGGGGCUAAUACCCUCGAGGAAGGACAUCACCCACAGAAGAAGCACCGGCUAACUCCGUGCCAGCAGCCGCGGUAAUACGGAGGGUGCGAGCGUUAAUCGGAAUUACUGGGCGUAAAGCGCGCGUAGGCGGUCUGAUAAGCCGGUUGUGAAAGCCCCGGGCUCAACCUGGGAACGGCAUCCGGAACUGUCAGGCUAGAGUGCAGGAGAGGAAGGUAGAAUUCCCGGUGUAGCGGUGAAAUGCGUAGAGAUCGGGAGGAAUACCAGUGGCGAAGGCGGCCUUCUGGACUGACACUGACGCUGAGGUGCGAAAGCGUGGGUAGCAAACAGGAUUAGAUACCCCUGUAGUC